RNAcentral lists this ribosomal RNA (301 nucleotides) under uncultured bacterium. Its description in RNAcentral is "partial 16S ribosomal RNA". It matches the Rfam family "Bacterial small subunit ribosomal RNA", at positions 509 to 807 of the family's 1533-position model. The record is from RNAcentral.
CAGCAGCCGCGGUAAUACCGAGGGUGCGAGCGUUAAUCGGAUUUACUGGGCGUAAAGCGUGCGUAGGCGGCUUCUUAAGUCGGAUGUGAAAUCCCUGAGCUUAACUUAGGAAUUGCAUUCGAUACUGGGAAGCUAGAGUAUGGGAGAGGAUGGUAGAAUUCCAGGUGUAGCGGUGAAAUGCGUAGAGAUCUGGAGGAAUACCGAUGGCGAAGGCAGCCAUCUGGCCUAAUACUGACGCUGAGGUACGAAAGCAUGGGGAGCAAACAGGAUUAGAUACCCCAGUAGUCCCUGUCUCUUAUAC